CGGAGAGCAGGAAUUGCAAUAGAAGGACUGUCACUUCAGCAAGCAAUUACAAAAUGCUGAACGGCACAAGUUGUACCUAGAUUGAAGCCAGUUAUACAAGCAUUACCAGCCUGCAUUCUCUGGGAGUUAUGGAAGAGAAGAAAUAGUUUGAAACAUGGAGAAGUGUCAGUAAAUAGAGUUAUUUACCAAGUGUCAUCGACGCUGCAAGCAUUAGUUCAACUGAAAAAACCAGGAUUACAUGUGCCUCACAAAUGGUUAGACUUACUGACAAUGAUGGAGAAAUACACACCUCGUCUGAAGUAUGAUAAAGUACUGUGGGAAUUCCCUCCAACAGGAUGGAUCAAGGUCAAUACUGAUGGUGC
This 362-nucleotide long non-coding RNA is filed under the name Nicotiana benthamiana. Its description in RNAcentral is "long non-coding RNA (NBEN_LNC018447)". Lineage: Eukaryota; Viridiplantae; Streptophyta; Magnoliopsida; Solanales; Solanaceae. The record is from RNAcentral.